CUCUCUGCUUAUCUUUGACACAGGUGAGGGGCUGAUGUAGAAACUGUUAAAAGACUAUACAAUGACUUGUAUAUUCAAUAAUGGCUCAAACUUCAAAGGUCUAUCAUUUUGCCCUGCUCUUCAUUUCUUUCCUCAUAAUGCUUCUCAAAGCAAUCUUGUCUUUCCAGCCUCACAAUCAAGGACAAAUUCCUGAAUGCAACAUUUGCUUUUCCGUCUUCCCGCUUCACCUCACUCAUCCCUGCAGAAGUACAAGUAUUCCUGGCUUCUUCAAGUCUACGCCUAAGAAUUAAGAGCCUUGGGGAGAAGGGCACUGCAUCGACCACUGCAUCUCAAUCAUUGUGGCAGACGUACCACAGCACUGGGAAGCUGGCCUUGGCAAGAAUCUCAGGCUAUUACUACAGAGUUGGGAAGAAGGUUUAGGAUCAAGAUAGAGGUGACUGACCAAGCCAACAGAUAGUCCUUGAACCAAAAGGAAUUAUGAGAACUCUGCUUAUUUUUGGAAACAUGAAGAAUGAUGAAACCUGUUCAGCAAUGCAUAUUCAUCGGACUGCAGAGGUUUAAUGACAUCAGGGAACCAAACGGAUAAUCCAUAGUACCUGCAAAGACAAAGAAAUCAGCAGAAAUGGAGUAAGACAUCUGACAUCCUGGCCCCAAUAUCUUUCUCAUCAUUCCAGUCUGCUCUGAGAAACUCUCUCUCCUAGUCUGGUGGUACAAACUCCUGGGAUCCAAGCACGGUGAG
This is a long non-coding RNA of Homo sapiens (human), 739 nucleotides long. RefSeq annotates it as SV2C antisense RNA 2. The record is from RefSeq and is a predicted model, not a curated record. The transcript is spliced from 4 exons. NCBI's taxonomy places the organism in Eukaryota, Metazoa, Chordata, Mammalia, Primates, Hominidae.